This 484-nucleotide ribosomal RNA is filed under the name uncultured bacterium. RNAcentral describes it as "partial 16S ribosomal RNA". It matches the Rfam family "Bacterial small subunit ribosomal RNA", at positions 30 to 507 of the family's 1533-position model. The record is from RNAcentral.
AUUGAACGCUGGCGGCAGGCCUAACACAUGCAAGUCGAGCGGAUGAAGGGAGCUUGCUCCUGGAUUCAGCGGCGGACGGGUGAGUAAUGCCUAGGAAUCUGCCUGGUAGUGGGGGAUAACGUCCGGAAACGGGCGCUAAUACCGCAUACGUCCUGAGGGAGAAAGUGGGGGAUCUUCGGACCUCACGCUAUCAGAUGAGCCUAGGUCGGAUUAGCUAGUUGGUGGGGUAAAGGCCUACCCAGGCGACGAUCCGUAACUGGUCUGAGAGGAUGAUCAGUCACACUGGAACUGAGACACGGUCCAGACUCCUACGGGAGGCAGCAGUGGGGAAUAUUGGACAAUGGGCGAAAGCCUGAUCCAGCGAUGCCGCGUGUGUGAAGAAGGUCUUCGGAUUGUAAAGCACUUUAUGUUGGGAGGAAGGGCAGUAAGUUAAUACCUUGCUGUUUUGACGGUACCUACAGAAUAAGCACCGGCUAACUUCGUG